CCUUGUUUGCUUAUUAGUUCAUUUGCCUCACCUGUCCCCUGUUAACCCGUUUGAUUUCUCUCCCUAUUUUAGUCUCCUCGUGUUUGCUGUCCAGUGCCAGUUCGUCUUGUUUCCAGUCCUGUGUGUUCCAGUCAGUCUGUCGGUUGGUCUAGUUUCCUGUCCUGUUCGGUCGGUCCUGUUCCCCGCUGUCAUCUGCCCCAGCCCUGGAUUACCUUUUUCCCCUACGGAGUUGUUUAUGUUUGAUUUUUUUCCCCCUUGUGGGAGUUUUGGUUUGUUUUUGCCCUUUUGUGUUAUUAAUAAAUCUUUGGUUUUUUAAACUCUGCGCUUGGGUCCUGAGCCUCAUUCUCUGAUCCUGGCAUACCAAGUAUCCUGAUGAAAAGAACAGAAUAAAUUUCCAUGCAGAUCCAGCCUGGUUUUAUGCUGGUCUGGGGUUGACUAAGCUUUUGAACCAGAAAAGCCAUAAUGUUCACAACCAAAAAUUUGGUCAACCAGCAUGGCAUUACAGUUGGACAACUCUCGGAAAGAAGAUUAAAUGUUUUCAUUGAUGGUAGGACUAGAUCUGUUUUAUGCAUGCUGCUGCUGCUGCUUGACAUGAGACAAUAUGCUGCUGCUGUUGGCAUGGAAACAUGAUGCUGCUGAGACAGUAGAGACUUGCUGCUGCUACUGUACAAACAUCAAGAUAAAUCCCCCAUAAAGCAGAUCAAGCCAGGUGGAGGGAGACGCUACAUGUAACGGCAUUGCUAUAUUGCGUGAGAUCCAGAUGUAUGGCUGGAAUAAAGGAGUUCAGGAAGAACAUGAAGAUGACCACCCCCAGGACAGACAAACACUUUACCAGGAGGACUUUGUCAGUUAUUCUGUGCUGUAAAAUAUGAAAAACACAUUUAGAAAGAGAGUGGAGAAAAGACAGACAGAAAGGAACCUUUCUAUUUAAGCAAAAUCACACAAGUGUCUGACUAUUAUUAGAUUCCAUGAACUCAACCAUGCUCUGGGCUUCAAACACGAGCAAACCAGGAGCGACCUCGACCAGUAUGUCAAGAUCAACUGGGAGUACAUCACUCCUG
Molecule: long non-coding RNA, 1061 nt
Organism: Myxocyprinus asiaticus (Chinese sucker)
Lineage: Eukaryota; Metazoa; Chordata; Actinopteri; Cypriniformes; Catostomidae
Exons: 3
Source: RefSeq, a predicted model, not a curated record